UACGAAGGGGGCUAGCGUUGCUCGGAAUCACUGGGCGUAAAGGGUGCGUAGGCGGGUCUUUAAGUCAGGGGUGAAAUCCUGGAGCUCAACUCCAGAACUGCCUUUGAUACUGAGGAUCUUGAGUUCGGGAGAGGUGAGUGGAACUGCGAGUGUAGAGGUGAAAUUCGUAGAUAUUCGCAAGAACACCAGUGGCGAUGGCGGCUCACUGGCCCGAUACUGACGCUGAGGCACGAAAGCGUGGGGAGCAAACAGG
RNAcentral lists this ribosomal RNA (253 nucleotides) under uncultured bacterium. RNAcentral describes it as "partial 16S ribosomal RNA". It matches the Rfam family "Bacterial small subunit ribosomal RNA", at positions 524 to 776 of the family's 1533-position model. The record is from RNAcentral.